RNAcentral lists this ribosomal RNA (484 nucleotides) under uncultured bacterium. RNAcentral describes it as "partial 16S ribosomal RNA". It matches the Rfam family "Bacterial small subunit ribosomal RNA", at positions 30 to 507 of the family's 1533-position model. The record is from RNAcentral.
AUUGAACGCUGGCGGCAGGCCUAACACAUGCAAGUCGAGCGGAUGAAGGGAGCUUGCUCCUGGAUUCAGCGGCGGACGGGUGAGUAAUGCCUAGGAAUCUGCCUGGUAGUGGGGGAUAACGUCCGGAAACGGGCGCUAAUACCGCAUACGUCCUGAGGGAGAAAGUGGGGGAUCUUCGGACCUCACGCUAUCAGAUGAGCCUAGGUCGGAUUAGCUAGUUGGUGGGGUAAAGGCCUACCAAGGCGACGAUCCGUAACUGGUCUGAGAGGAUGAUCAGUCACACUGGAACCGAGACACGGUCCAGACUCCUACGGGAGGCAGCAGUGGGGAAUAUUGGACAAUGGGCGAAAGCCUGAUCCAGCCAUGCCGCGUGUGUGAAGAAGGUCUUCGGAUUGAAAAGCACUUUAAGUUGGGAGGAAGGGCAGUAAGUUAAUACCUUGCUGUUUUGACGUUACCAACAGAAUAAGCACCGGCUAACUUCGUG